RNAcentral lists this small RNA (120 nucleotides) under Marmota monax (woodchuck). The record is from RNAcentral. Lineage: Eukaryota; Metazoa; Chordata; Mammalia; Rodentia; Sciuridae.
GCCAGGCACAGUGGUGAUGUACACCUGUAGUCCCAGCUACUAAGGAGGCUAAGGUGGGAGGAUCACUUGAGCCCAGGAGUUUGAGACCAGCCUAGGCAACAUACAGAGAUCCUGCCUCAA